CCCAGGUCUGCGGAAGUGAAAUGGCAAGGGUCCUGUCCUAGAGGGUUAACAGAAGUAAUUACAGAUUAAUGAAGUAGCAUUCUCCUGACAGGCAGCCAUCGAUGUCCAGGUUCACCCUGCAUCCCUUCUCUACAGCAACUCCAGAUGCUCUGCUUUUGGUAUAUUAAGAACACAAAAAAAUGAGUGGGAAUACACGGCUCAUAUUCUGCUCCUGGAAUCACAGCCACUCCUGGCAAAACAUUCUGCAGCCAGACCCUCACUGUGCCUCCUCUGCUCCUCUCCCUGAGAAAGGAGUCUUCCCUCUUGAAGUGUUGUCAAAGGCCUCGGAGACCUCUGGGGAGUGGAGGAUGCCUGGAAUCUUGCAGGGGAAUGAGAGUCUUCUGUGAAGAACGAGUUACUUGUGGUGAAUGUCUACAAAGCUCAGAUGUGUUCAUCUUAAUUCAUAGGGAAUUCUGACUUUAAGCAUACUACAGGGCACAGAGUCAUUAUGUGCAAUGGAAAAAAAGAGGGAGAAAUUCCCAUAACAGAUUUCAUGCAAGUGUUUUGGUAUAAAACUGGUAUGUGUCAUGAGACUCUAUCAGCUCUAACAGUGACUGGGGACACAACCAGAAACUGCUCAUAGAAACACAACUGAAGGACACAGUGUUCAAAUUGUUUUUACCUAAGGUAUAGCUGGAGGAUUCCAGACAAGUCAUUUACCAACAAAGACAGAAAGGUGAUGAGUGAUGACGUUGGCUUUCUCUAGGACCACUCUAAAUGGCACAGGGCACAUAAUAGAAAGUUGGAGUCAUGAUGUCGUUUCUAACAGGUUCAUCUCCUAGCCAGAAUCAAGAAAGGAAGACACAGCAGCCACACUGUUCCCACAGAGGUGAGGUCUGGAAGGGAUCACCCAGGCCGGGAGACCUCUGUUUGGAGUGUGCAGUCAUCCUCCUCUCAUUAUUUCCUGAAACUCACAGAAAAACCUUAAGGCAGCCUCUUUGCUUCCAUCCCUUCCAGUCUUGGAUACAGAAAAAUAAUGGACUUCUAUAAGAGUUGCAACACCACGUCGUCUACUAGACAACAAACAGUGCAGGCGUCAUCCCUGGAAACACCCAUAAAAACGCAAGUCAAAUGACCACACCUGUAUUUCAAGGUUGCAAAGACGAGGGCCAUGAAAUGGCACUACCACAUUGAUGGGUAUGAUUCAUUGUACGACACACUGCUUUCCUACAGAUUAUGACAAUUGACACCACCCCCGAGGAAUGUUAGCAUGGACAAAGUUUCCAC
Long non-coding RNA from Acinonyx jubatus (cheetah), 1266 nucleotides. RefSeq lists it as uncharacterized. NCBI's taxonomy places the organism in Eukaryota, Metazoa, Chordata, Mammalia, Carnivora, Felidae. The record is from RefSeq and is a predicted model, not a curated record. The transcript is spliced from 3 exons.